This is a long non-coding RNA of Oncorhynchus keta (chum salmon), 265 nucleotides long. RefSeq lists it as uncharacterized. The transcript is spliced from 3 exons. Lineage: Eukaryota; Metazoa; Chordata; Actinopteri; Salmoniformes; Salmonidae. The record is from RefSeq and is a predicted model, not a curated record.
CAUGGGAAGAUGAAAAGGGUCAAAGGUUAACAUGGGAAGAUGAAAAGGUUCAAAGGUUAACAUGGGAAGAUGAAAAGGGUCAAAGGUUAACAUGGGAAGAUGAAAAGGUUCAAAGGUUAACAUGGGAAGAUGAAAAGGGUCAAAGGUUAACAUGGGAAGAUGAAAAGGGUCAAAGGUUAACAUGGGAAGAUGAAAAGGGUCAAAGGUUAACAUGGGAAGAUGAAAAGGGUCAAAGGUUAACAUGGGAAGAUGAAAAGGGUCAAAG